RNAcentral lists this ribosomal RNA (482 nucleotides) under uncultured Saprospiraceae bacterium. RNAcentral describes it as "bacterial SSU rRNA". It matches the Rfam family "Bacterial small subunit ribosomal RNA", at positions 28 to 505 of the family's 1533-position model. The record is from RNAcentral. Lineage: Bacteria; Pseudomonadati; Bacteroidota; Saprospiria; Saprospirales; Saprospiraceae.
GAUGAACGCUAGCGGGAGGCUUAAUACAUGCAAGUCGAGGGGCAGCAUAGGACUUCGGUCCUGAUGGCGACCGGCGCACGGGUGAGUAACGCGUACACAAUCUACCUUUAACUGAGGAAUAGCCCUGGGAAACUGGGAUUAAUGCCUCAUAGUUUUUCUGAUUCGCAUGAAUUAGGGAAUAAAGCUACGGCGGUUAGAGAUGAGUGUGCGUACUAUUAGCUAGUUGGUAAGGUAACGGCUUACCAAGGCUACGAUAGUUAGGGGGCGUGAGAGCGUGAUCCCCCACACGGGUACUGAGACACGGACCCGACUCCUACGGGAGGCAGCAGUAAGGAAUAUUGGACAAUGGAGGCAACUCUGAUCCAGCCAUCCCGCGUGCAGGAUGACGGCCCUCUGGGUUGUAAACUGCUUUUAUACAAGAAGAACCGUACCUAUUUAUAGGUGCCUGACGGUAUUGUAAGAAUAAGCACCGGCUAAUUCCG